Molecule: long non-coding RNA, 234 nt
Filed under: Brassica napus (rape)
Lineage: Eukaryota; Viridiplantae; Streptophyta; Magnoliopsida; Brassicales; Brassicaceae
Description: long non-coding RNA (BNAP_LNC009468)
Source: RNAcentral
CAUCUCUGUUUCCAUCUCUUUUUCUUUCCUCUUUCUCUCUCUCCUUAACUCUUCAAUUUCUUGCCGUAAUCGCUCUUCAAUUUCUUGCCGUAAUCGCUUGUUCUCCUCCUCUGCUAAUCUUGACGUCUCUUUACUCGAAUCCUCUAUCUGAGAUUUGAGCAACAUGACAACAGAAACAGAUUCCCUGAGUAGGUUGACCUACGCCUGUGGGAAGUAAACGUCGUAAGAGUGAGU